Molecule: ribosomal RNA, 538 nt
Filed under: uncultured bacterium
Lineage: Bacteria
Description: bacterial SSU rRNA
Rfam family: Bacterial small subunit ribosomal RNA
Source: RNAcentral
AAUAGAUACCCAGGUAGUCCACGCCGUAAACGUUGGAUACUAGGUGUGGCGGUUAUACCAAUGACUGCCGUGCCGAAGCUAACGCAUUAAGUAUCCCGCCUGGGGAGUACGGCCGCAAGGCUAAAACUCAAAGGAAUUGACGGGUCCCCGCACAAGCGGCGGAGCAUGCGGCUUAAUUCGAUGCAACCCGAAGAACCUUACCUGGGUUUGACACCACGGGAAAAGCUGUAGAAAUACAGUGUCCGUAAGGGCCCGUGACAGGUGGUGCAUGGCUGUCGUCAGCUCGUGUCGUGAGAUGUUGGGUUAAGUCCCGCAACGAGCGCAACCCUUGUCCUAUGUUGCCAGCAGGCCCCUGUGGUGCUGGGGACUCACGGGAGACCGCCGGGGUCAACUCGGAGGAAGGUGGGGACGACGUCAAGUCAUCAUGCCCCUUAUGUCUUGGGCUGCACACGUGCUACAAUGGCCGGUACAAAGAGCUGCGAUACCGUGAGGUGGAGCGAAUCUCAAAAAGCCGGUCUCAGUUCGGAUUGGGGUCUGC